This 3190-nucleotide long non-coding RNA is filed under the name Zea mays. RNAcentral's name for it is "long non-coding RNA (ZMAY_LNC001706)". Lineage: Eukaryota; Viridiplantae; Streptophyta; Magnoliopsida; Poales; Poaceae. The record is from RNAcentral.
CAGUUAUUUCACAGUCUCACAGUCACAGAUAAUAGUAGUUAGUCUCAUAGACUAUAAAUACAGUUCUCACUUCUCACUUCUCAGGUCACAAAAUGAAGUCACAAAAUCACAGUUAUUACACAGUCUCACAGAUAGUAGUAGUUAGUCUCAUAGACUUUAAAUAAAACAUUAGAGCUGUUUGUGCAAUGGCUGCCUCAUUAAAAACCUUUCUAGGUAAAAACUCACACCUCGUGAGAAAACCCUAGAAAGGAAAAAAGAGUACAGCCCAGCUCUAAUAUAAUUAGUUCAUUGUUCAGUUACAUCAAUAUCACACCAGAUCAGCAGAGCACAAAUGCAAGAUUACAAAGUGUAGGGCUCUAAGGCCCUUGGGAGUCAUCAAGGUAAAGGCCUUCAAAUGCAUCUUCAAGUUCUUGGUCCUGGGUACAGUGCUGGCCUCUAGCUUCACCAAGUUCCCAAUCUUUAACGCACAGUAGCAUCUCAACCAUUUCUGGUGCUAGGCGUCGUCGUCGCCUCGAUUAUCCUGCCACAAAGGCUAAAUGCAGAUUCUGAGGAAAUAGUUGAGACAGGAACAAAAAUAAUAUCUCUAGCUAAAAUGGAAAGAACAGGAUAGGACAACUUAUGUUCAUGCCACCAGUUCAGGAUAUUGAAGUCAUCAUCAAACUUUUGCAAAGUGUCACUAUCUAAGUAGGAGGACAGUUCUGUUUCAAGUGAACUUAGGCCAGCACUAGAGUGAGCUUGUUGAAGCAAAGCAGAUGCUGAUGUUCCACUACCAAGGUUAGGAGUAAUAGAACUAGGGUAUGCAAGUUCAGUAGAAUCAGAUGCAUAAAUCAAUCCCCAGUUUUGUUUCCUCUUACCUGUGACAGCUGAGGGAGGAGGCACUCGUUGCUUAACUGCGCCAAACUUACUAUCAUAUCUAUUAAACAUUGUAGACAAUUCAUUUUUCACACGACUAAAAUAAAGUGAGUAAUCAGUACCACAAAGGCCAGAUAAAAUUCUCAAGAUAUUGCUGAAACCCCUUAGCUUGGCUCUAGGAUCUAGUACAAAAGCAAAUGCAUAGAGCAUAGGUAUAUCCCUCCAGUACUUAAGAAACUUAGACUUCAUAGGAGAGACAACAUUUCUAAGGAAAGCAUCAUUUUCAUACUGAGUUAAAUGUUGAACAAUGUCAAGGAUGUUAUGCAUUAUAAGUGGAGAUGUAGGAUAAUAAACACCAGAAAGUGUCACAGUAGCAUCAUAAAACAGUUCAAGGAACUCAAGCAACUUUUCAGCCACAUACCAAUGUGAAUUUGUUAACAAUUGAGGCUCACCUUGUUUUCUAGGGUAGUUAGUUUCCAUGAAAACACCAAAAGUUUCCUUAUAAGGAAUUAAAUGCUUAAGCAUUAGGUAUGUAGAAUUCCAUCUCACAGCCAUGUCAAUGCCAAACUUACGAGGGCGUACAUUCAUAGCAACACAAUAGCUCUUAAAUGCAGCAAUGCGCUGAUUAGAAGCAUUCAAGAAGACAAUUGCAGUUCUAAAUGAAUCAAGGUAAGGUUCUAGCCUUUUCAAGCCACACUUCACAAUCAAAUUGAUAAUAUGACAGGCACAACGUUGAUGCAAGAAUAAAGUACCAACAUAACCAGAUAGUGAUGAACUAAGCCUAUCCAUAGCCUUAGUAUUAGAGGAGGCAUUGUCUAAGGUGACAGAGAAUACUUUAUUUGCAACACCAUAAUCUUCAAGCACUGACAAAACCCUCUCAGCAAUGUUCUCACCAGUGUGAGCUGUUUCAAUUAGUCUAAGCCCAAUCACCCUCUUUUCUAAUACCCAGUCCUUAGAAACAUAAUGAGCAACCACACUAAGAUAGUCCUCCUUAGCAUUACCACUCCAAAUAUCAGAUGUAAUUGCAAUAGAAGAAACAGAUUGUAAGCAUUCAACAACUAUCUUACGUCGAUCAUUGAAAAACUUAACAAAGUCCCUACAAGUUGUUUGUCUAGAGACUUUCUUAAAGACAGGAUUAUGAGAUAACCUAAUGUACUCCUCAAAAGCAGGUGACUCAGCAAAAUUAAGAGGAAGAUCAAGCCUAGCAAUCAACCUACACAUUUGAGUUCUAGCACGUUCAGGACAAUAAUCCCAGUUACGGACAGUACCAUCAGGGUUAAAUUUAAGCAUUGACUGCUUGCCCUGUUUAGCAAGCUUAACUUUGCAAUCACGUUGAUGCCUAAGCAAAUGACCAGUACCACUAGUCGACACAGCAGACAAUGUACAUUUGCACCAAUGACACUUACCACCAUACCUGAUCUUCUUACCAUCUACGGUUCUGUAAAGUGGUUCGAAGUCCUGCCACACUUUAGAUGUGCAAAUUCUUUUGCGCUUCUUACCAUCAGCAUCAGAAGUGGGGGCAGAACCAUUGUCGGUAGCAGCAGCACCCUCUUCAAGGUCAAUAGGGGUAGGGGUAGGGGCAACACUGCUCAGAUCAUUGUUAAUGGACUGAGAUGGAGCAUUUUCUUCACUUGGAACAAUCCUCAGAUCAUUGUUAAUGAACUGAGAUAGAUUCUCUUCACCAACAUCUCCAUCCAUCACAAAUUAGAAAGCUAGAGGCCGGAGCACCGGUUCCGUCGCCCGUCAAGAUGGUGGCACGCACCGUUCCCUCACGACCUAUCAAAUAACAACAAGGUCAUGAGUUCAUCACAGUCUCACAGAGAAUAACAGAUCAGGCACACUUACAUUAAGUAAUGGCGUACUAGACACAAUAACCAAAUAACAGCAAGGUCAUGAGUUCACCUCUGAGCUUGACGCGACUCGUUAAUGGCGUAAGCAGUAGGGUCGGAGCACCGGUUCCGUCGCCCGUCAAGAUGGUGGCGCGCACCGUUCCCUCACGACCUACCAAAUAGCAGCAAGGUCCAUGACAGAGAAGAACAGAUCAGACACACUCACAUUAUGUAAUGACAGGAGGUACUAGAUACAAUACUCAAAUAGCAACAAGCAUGUUCCAACAAAUUAAUUAACGACAGCUAGGUCAUGAGUCCAUCACAGAGAAGAACAGAUCAGGCACACUCAAAUUUUGUAAUGACAGAAGGUACUAGAUACAAUAAUAAAAUACCAAGCAAGGUCAUGAGUUCAUCAAAGAGAAGAACAGAUCAUGAGUUAAUGGCGUAAGCAGUAAUGACAACAACCAUCAUCCAGAGUCCAGACAUCUCACCUCUGUGCUUGACGCGGC